AUGGUCCAUCCUAAGAAUGCUGAACAUCAGUCUGGGACAAACCUUGCCUGCUCUCACUGUGACACCAGCACGGAAAGAAAGGAGAGAAGUGCCAUGCCCUGCAGAUGUGAGGUGCAAACCCAGCCAGAGCGUGCAGCCUUGGGUGAGACCGUGGCUCCUUGCAGCCCAUUCAUCUUCAUUACCUGCCUCAGCUGCCAGCAGCGACAGCAAAACAGCUCUCCAGACCAGCGCCACCGGUGGUUUUCCCUGUGGGAGGUGUUCCUGGUAGAACAAUUUGGUUUCUCCUCAGCCCCACCUAAUGCCCAGGCGGCAUCAGCCUGCCUGCCUCUGUGGGCUCCCCAGAUACAAGUGAGCUCCUCGGCCUGCCUGGCUGCCUUCCCCGAUCACCUGCACGGCAGUAACGCAGGCUGUGGUGCUACCCAUGCCUCUGCGCCCAUGCUGCUGGGCCCCGGCGGGCUCCCUGGGCUGUAUUUACUCAAGAUGCUGGGCUGCAGUUUGCUCAUCCCUGCUCUACAGGGCUGCUUUGUCCACAAAAGCAACUGGGGAGCUGCAGCCAUGCAAAAUGUACCUGCAUCUAUUCGUGCGUGCGCGUGCUGUAUCCCACCUGCAGUACUUCAACACAUAGUUCUCUAA
This 633-nucleotide long non-coding RNA is filed under the name Anser cygnoides (Swan goose). RNAcentral describes it as "lncRNA (ENSACDG00005017523.1)". The record is from RNAcentral. Lineage: Eukaryota; Metazoa; Chordata; Aves; Anseriformes; Anatidae.